GUGCGAGAGUCUUUUGCUUGCAAGAGACGGAAAGCGGCGAAAGGGAGAGUAACGCGUGGGUAACCUACCCUUGGGACUGGGAUAGCGGCGGGAAACUGCCGGUAAUACCGGAUAACGUCCCCGGACCAAAUGGUGUGAUUCCGCCUGAGGAUGGGCCCGCGUCCUAUUAGCUUGUUGGUGGGGUAAUGGCCUACCAAGGCGAAGAUGGGUACCGGGUGUGAGAGCAUGACCCGGCUCACUGGGACUGAGACACUGCCCAGACACCUACGGGUGGCUGCAGUCGAGAAUCUUCGGCAAUGGGCGCAAGCCUGACCGAGCGACGCCGCGUGCGGGAUGAAGGCCUUCGGGUUGUAAACCGCUGUCAGAGGGGAGGAAAUGCAGGGGAGUCAUCUCCUUUGUUUGACCGAUCCUCGGAGGAAGUACGGGCUAAGUUCGUGCCAGCAGCCGCGGUAAGACGAACCGUACGAACGUUAUUCGGAAUUACUGGGCUUAAAGCGUGCGUAGGCGGCUUGGCAAGUUGGGUGUGAAAUCCCUCGGCUCAACCGAGGAAUUGCGCUCAAAACUGCCAGACUUGAGGGAGAUAGAGGUGAGCGGAACUGAUGGUGGAGCGGUGAAAUGCGUUGAUAUCAUCAGGAACACCGGAGGCGAAAGCGGCUCACUGGGUCUCUUCUGACGCUGAGGCACGAAAGCUAGGGGAGCGAACGGGAUUAGAUACCCCGGUAGUCCUAGCUGUAAACGAUGAGCACUAGGUCGGAGGACCUUCCACAGUUUUCCGGCCGUAGCGAAAGUGUUAAGUGCUCC
RNAcentral lists this ribosomal RNA (801 nucleotides) under uncultured bacterium. RNAcentral describes it as "bacterial SSU rRNA". It matches the Rfam family "Bacterial small subunit ribosomal RNA", at positions 64 to 870 of the family's 1533-position model. The record is from RNAcentral.